AUACGUAGGGGGCAAGCGUUAUCCGGAUUUACUGGGUGUAAAGGGAGCGUAGACGGUUCUGCAAGUCUGGAGUGAAAGCCCGGGGCUCCAACCCCGGGACUGCUUUGGAAACUGUGGAACUAGAGUGCAGGAGAGGUAAGUGGAAUUCCUAGUGUAGCGGUGAAAUGCGUAGAUAUUAGGAGGAACACCAGUGGCGAAGGCGGCUUACUGGACUGUAACUGACGCUGAGGUGCG
RNAcentral lists this ribosomal RNA (234 nucleotides) under uncultured bacterium. RNAcentral describes it as "partial 16S ribosomal RNA". It matches the Rfam family "Bacterial small subunit ribosomal RNA", at positions 523 to 755 of the family's 1533-position model. The record is from RNAcentral.